UGGGGGAUAUUGCGCAAUGGGGGAAACCCUGAUGCAGCGACGCCGCGUGAGGGAAGAAGGUUUUCGGAUUGUAAACCUCUGUCAUGUGGGACGAUAAUGACGGUACCACAUGAGGAAGCCACGGCUAACUACGUGCCAGCAGCCGCGGUAAUACGUAGGUGGCAAGCGUUGUCCGGAAUUACUGGGUGUAAAGGGAGCGUAGGCGGGAAUGCAAGUUGAAUGUUUAAACUAUCGGCUCAACCGGUAGUCGCGUUCAAAACUGUAUUUCUUGAGUGAAGUAGAGGCAAGCGGAAUUCCUAGUGUAGCGGUGAAAUGCGUAGAUAUUAGGAGGAACACCAGUGGCGAAGGCGGCUUGCUGGGCUUUUACUGACGCUGAGGCUCGAAAGCGUGGGUAGCGAACAG
RNAcentral lists this ribosomal RNA (402 nucleotides) under uncultured bacterium. RNAcentral describes it as "bacterial SSU rRNA". It matches the Rfam family "Bacterial small subunit ribosomal RNA", at positions 355 to 775 of the family's 1533-position model. The record is from RNAcentral.